Ctenopharyngodon idella (grass carp) is the source of this 1342-nucleotide long non-coding RNA. RefSeq lists it as uncharacterized. NCBI's taxonomy places the organism in Eukaryota, Metazoa, Chordata, Actinopteri, Cypriniformes, Xenocyprididae. The record is from RefSeq and is a predicted model, not a curated record. The transcript has 2 exons.
CUGGGUCCCCAGCUGAAAAAAAAAAAAAAAAAAAGACAAAAUGGAAAUUCCCUUGUCAACUGUAAUGCUAACGCAAAAAGCACCAGCCCAUUUUAUGCAAGCUCACUCUGAUUAUGCUGCUGCUCAGAUCCACCGUGCAACAGGGCCAGGCCGAGAGCCGUGGGAACGGAGCAAGUGUUAAUGAGCGUCACCUGCGCGCCACACUGGUCUCGAGUACAACGGAGGAGCUCCGAAACAAUAAGAGGAGUAAUGACAGUGAAAGAAGAGAGGACCAGGCCUGGACUUUAUGUUGUCGUUUUAUUAUGUUUAUAUGCAGCAGUCUUCCAUGAGGGGCAGCUGCUUUACUUUCACUUUGAUGUUUGUUUAUUUUAUGAUUAAACUUCACGCUAAUCGUUUGCCAGUUCUCGCCCAUUAACAAAUAUUGCUACAUAUCUAUUUGAGACAACAAAAACAGCAUUUAUUUGAUCUAGGGCUGGGCGAUUUUUCCGAUUUUUUUCCGAUUAACUUGAACUUAAUGUUUUGCCUCGAUUUUAUUAUUUGUAAAUCGAGAAAUCGUAAUUUUGAAUAAAAACGUAAGCUGCAAACUUUACAAUUAGACACGCUGACAAUACAGCAAUGAUAAGCGUUAAGAGAUGAAAAUGAUCAGACCUCAUGAUGGCACGUCUGAUUAACCGCUCUCGUGUGACGCUCUAUGAACGCAGAAUACAUUGCUAGUCUUAAGCGGCUGUUCACUCAGAAAUGCGUUACUGCGUUCAAAAGAAAAAAAAGAAAAAAUUUUUGAGUGACACGCUGCAAAAGACGCGAGACAUGAGUGCAACAGCCAAACAUGUCCACCAAACAUAAAAACAAUAGGAAAAAUAGAGCAAUGGAAUGCAAAAACCUGUAAAGAAUGAGAUAUUUUACGUUUGCAUGAUGGUGACAGGCUGAAAGCUGCUGUUAUUUUCUGGGGUUUUUUUUCUGUUAUUUUGUUUUUUUACAAAGCAUUUGCUGUUAAAUAACCUAUUACUGGUGUUAUUUAUUGCUAUUACUUUUUGGCUAAGAAAUAUUUAGCAUUUCUCUCAUUUUAUAUUAUUUCUGAGUAUACAGGAUAUGUUUAAGAUAAGUUCGUACAACAUUUGCCUUCAUAUUUCAUGCAUAUUUUCUGCGAAGAUAUUUAACACAAGUCAUUUGUUUUACAUUUACAGCAUGUUAAUCACUUCAGGUGUGGUGCACAUUUGGAAUAGGACUUUUUUUAACCAGAUGGUGAAUAAAGAGGAUGUUACUUAAAUCAUAUUGUAGUUACUAAGUUGACUAGUUAAACAAAAAAAAAAAAAAAAAAAAAAAAAAAAAAAAAAAACAGAAA